Carcharodon carcharias (great white shark) is the source of this 110-nucleotide long non-coding RNA. RefSeq lists it as uncharacterized. Lineage: Eukaryota; Metazoa; Chordata; Chondrichthyes; Lamniformes; Lamnidae. The record is from RefSeq and is a predicted model, not a curated record. The transcript has 2 exons.
AUGCGCAGUACCAUCUGUACCUGGAGCUGGUGGAAGACGGUGAGAAAUGGCGAACACAGGCGAGUAAAAGGAGCCGGCACCUUUCCAAAUGACGGUAAUAAAACUGAAGA